This 253-nucleotide ribosomal RNA is filed under the name uncultured bacterium. Its description in RNAcentral is "partial 16S ribosomal RNA". It matches the Rfam family "Bacterial small subunit ribosomal RNA", at positions 524 to 776 of the family's 1533-position model. The record is from RNAcentral.
UACAGAGGGUGCAAACGUUGUUCGGAAUUACUGGGCGUAAAGCGCGUGUAGGCGGCCAUCUAAGUCGGGCGUGAAAUCCCACGGCUCAACCGUGGAAGUGCACUCGAAACUGGAUGGCUAGAGUCCUGGAGAGGAAGGUGGAAUGCUUGGUGUAGAGGUGAAAUUCGUAGAUAUCAAGCGGAACACCGGUGGCGAAGGCGGCCUUCUGGACAGUGACUGACGCUGAGACGCGAGAGCGUGGGGAGCAAACAGG